Molecule: small nuclear RNA, 107 nt
Filed under: Rhinopithecus bieti (black snub-nosed monkey)
Lineage: Eukaryota; Metazoa; Chordata; Mammalia; Primates; Cercopithecidae
Source: RNAcentral
GUGCUCACUUCAGCAGCACAUGUGCUAAAAUUGGAACGAUACAGAGAAGAUUAGCAUGGUCCCUGAGCAAGGAUGACACGGACAUUUGUGAACUGUUCCAUAAAAUA